AACGCGAAGAACCUUACCUGGGCUCGAACGGCUGCGGAAAGCCGGUGGAAACACUGGUUCUCCCGCAAGGGACCGUAGUCGAGGUGCUGCAUGGCUGUCGUCAGCUCGUGUCGUGAGAUGUUGGGUUAAGUCCCGCAACGAGCGCAACCCUUGUCCUGUGUUGGCAUGCCGAAAGGCGCAACUCUCAGGAGACCGCCAGCGAUAAGUUGGAGGAAGGUGGGGAUGACGUCAAGUCAUCAUGGCCUUUAUGUCCAGGGCUACACACGUGCUACAAUGGGCGGUACAAAGCGCUGCAAACCCGCGAGGGGGAGCUAAUCGCAAAAAACCGUUCUCAGUUCGGAUCGCAGGCUGCAACUCGCCUGCGUGAAGCUGGAAUCGCUAGUAAUGGCAUAUCAGAACGAUGCCGUGAAUACGUUCCCGGGCCUUGUACACACCGCUACAGU
RNAcentral lists this ribosomal RNA (443 nucleotides) under uncultured bacterium. RNAcentral's name for it is "bacterial SSU rRNA". It matches the Rfam family "Bacterial small subunit ribosomal RNA", at positions 958 to 1401 of the family's 1533-position model. The record is from RNAcentral.